RNAcentral lists this long non-coding RNA (13853 nucleotides) under Eutrema salsugineum. RNAcentral describes it as "long non-coding RNA (ESAL_LNC000191)". Lineage: Eukaryota; Viridiplantae; Streptophyta; Magnoliopsida; Brassicales; Brassicaceae. The record is from RNAcentral.
GAAAGGAUGCACUCCAGCACAACUAGCACUCGCGUGGGUUCACCACCAGGGAGAUGAUGUUUGCCCCAUCCCAGGAACCACCAAGAUCGAAAACCUUAACCAGAACAUUGGCGCUUUAUCAGUGAAACUCACUCCAGAAGAUAUUGCUGAGCUUGAGGUCAUUGGCCAACCUGAGUCUGUUAAAGGAGACAGAUACACGGCCAUGGUGCCCACCUUCAAGAACUCCGACACUCCACCGUUGUCUUCUUGGAAAGCCUCAUAAAACCGGUUGAGAGUCUCUCUGGUUAUGGUGAUACGUACAUGGGAUCGAAGUGGUUUAGCUUAUGUCUGCAACUCCAAUACGAGGUAAUAACAUGUUGCGCUUGUUUGUUUUGCAUUGCAUCUUGGAGAGUUUGAGCUUGCUAUGGGGGCUUCAAUAAUCUCAGAGAAUAAAAUAUGCAUAUGAUUCGAGCGUUAAUUCACCAAGUUUUAGGAGACUUUAUAAAACUUUGAAAUAUCUGAAUUUUAUCAUGAUCAAGGUUUAUGAAGAUCAAGUUAUUCACAAAGUUUUUUCUCAAAAAACAAAAAAAAAAGUUAUUCACACUGUUAUAUACCAGUAAAUAACUACAUACAGUAGUAACAGUACUAUGUUUAUAUCAUUUUAAUGGAAAUUUUUUCUUGGACGAAUAUUAAUUCAAAGAUAUAUCUAUAAUUUUCUUUUGUGUAAAUUUAGUAAAAAAAUAAAAUCAGUAAAAGUAGUAAGAAAUAUCAACAAUUAAAUUCUUUUUUUUUGGUCGAUCCAUAAAUUCAUGAACUCGAAAAAGAUAAAGAAAGACAAAUUAAAUUGGUUUUUUUGUUGCCUUUUCGGUUGAUAAUACCAUUUAUUGAUGUUGAAACGGCAUUAUUUUUCAUCAUUACCCUUCACCAACCCAACUCCAACAACCUCUCCACUCAAUUCAAAACUCUACAAGAGUCAAAGAGACAGAGAAAGAAAGAGGUGUGAGCUAAAUCAAUGGCGGAAGCUUGCGGAGUGAAGAGGAUGAAGCUGGGAAGCCAAGGCCUUGAGGUAUCGUCGCAAGGUCUUGGCUGCAUGGGCCUCUCCUCCUUCUACGGUGCUCCGAAGCCGGAAACUGAAGCCAUCGCUCUUCUCCGCCACGCAAUCGAAUCCGGCGUCACUUUCCUUGACACCUCCGACAUCUACGGUCCUGAGACCAACGAGUUUCUCCUCGGAAAGGUUCGGAUUUCGAAAUUCCCGAUCUUCGAUCUGAUCAUUUUCGCUUUGAUUUUAGUUAAAUCGAGAUGAGUUUUUGAGAGAUUUUCCAAAGUAUUUGAGCUCUGCUAUCUUAUUGGAAAAUAAAGAUUCGACUUUAGAGAUUUGGAAUUGGCAUCUGACUCUUUAGAAAUGAUUAAUUAUUUAAAAAGUUCAAAUUUUUUUGUCAGGCUCUCAAAGAUGGGUUUAGGGAGAAAGUAGAGCUUGCAAGCAAAUUUGGAAUCAGCUUUGCAGAGGGGAAGAGAGAGAUAAAGGGAGAUCCUUUGUAUGUGAGAGCUGCUUGUGAGGCUAGUUUAAAGCGUCUAGAUGUGAAAAGCAUUGAUCUUUAUUAUCAGCAUCGGAUUGAUACUCGUGUCCCUAUCGAAAUCACUGUAAGCCUUCUUACCCUCAAAAUGAAAUGAAAAAGUUAUCUGCUUGGAGUCGCACUUCACUUCCUUGGUAGAAAGAAGACACCUUUUGCUGUUCUUAACAAGUUCUUUUAUUGUUUUGUCAAUUUGCAAGAUGGGAGAACUGAAGAAGCUGGUUGAAGAAGGUAAAAUAAAGUACAUUGGUUUGUCUGAAGCCUCUGCUUCAACUAUCAGAAGAGCGCAUGCGGUUCACCCAAUAACUGCUGUGCAGUUAGAAUGGUCUUUGUGGACGAGAGACGUGGAAGAAGAAAUCAUCCCGACCUGCAGGUAAGGGAGUCAAUGCAGAUUUUGCUCUUCUUUUCAUGGUGCAUUAUACUAAUACUUAAAUGAACAUCAUCUUUACUUUCGUUCUUUAGGGAACUUGGGAUUGGAAUUGUUGCUUACAGUCCUCUGGGACGAGGUUUCUUUGCAUCAGGACCCAAGCUUGUUGAGAACCUAGAAAAUAAUGACUUUAGAAAGGCAAGUACAAAGGUUUUGUAUGACUUGUAGUCUUGUUUGAUUGAUGAAUCUUAUAUAUUUUGCUCAAUUCUGUUUCUUAUUGCAGACUCUACCAAGAUUCCAACAAGAAAACUUAGACCACAACAAGAUUCUCUACGAGAAGGUUUGUGCAAUGUCUGAGAAGAAAGGAUGCACUCCAGCACAACUAGCACUCGCGUGGGUUCACCACCAGGGAGAUGAUGUUUGCCCUAUCCCUGGAACCACUAAAAUCGAAAACCUGGAUCAGAACAUUGGAGCUUUAUCAGUGAAACUCACUCCAGAAGAGAUGGCUGAGCUCGAGGUCAUUGGCCAACAAGAGUCUGUUAAAGGAGAAAGACACGGUAACAUCGCGACCACUUUCAAGAACUCAGACACUCCACCAUUGUCUUCUUGGAAAGCCGCUUAAACCCGGCUGAGUUUCUCUGUUGUGGUGGUGCCUGACAUUGAAGCAGUCUUAACUCUGUCAGCGAGAUCAAGAUUGUUGAUGUGGUUGCAUCUUUUGAGAGUUUCAGAAGAAAUGCCUUGAAGAAUAUGUAUAGAGUUCCCCAAGUGAAAACUUCAAUUUACAUUUUUAUACAUUGUUGUGACCAAUCUCUAUAGAAAAAGAAAGAAUAUGUAUAGAGUUCCCCAAGUGAAAACUUCAAUUUACAUUUUUAUACAUUGUUGUGACCAAUCUCUAUAGAAAAAGAUCUGUUAUGUUCAAACUUCAGAGUAUGUUAACAAUAUGCAAGAUGAAGAUCCAAAUAUAAAUAAAAUAAAUAAUAAUAGAAGAAAAACUAAAAGAAAGUUUGAAACAGAACUUAAUUUGUUACUCACCGGCUCACCAAAAAGGCAAAAACUUAUGAGAAAGACAAAAAAUAAAGUUUCUUGUGUCAAAAUUAUUAUUUAGAUAAGAUGAAGACAAGAUCCUAACUUAUGUUUAGACAAAAGGAGUACAAGUCAACAAUUUAUAAAUGUUUUAGUCUUUGUUAAUGCUAGUCUUUGUUUAUGCUAGUCUUCUUCACCAACCAAAGAAAAAUCGAUUCUUCAUCAUCACCAACUCCACUCAACUCAUAGCUUUACAAGAGUCACAUAGAGAAGCGAGACAGAGAGAGAGAGAGAGUUGUGAGAGAAAUCCAUGGCGGAAGCUUGCAGAGUGAAGAGAAUGAAGCUUGGAAGUCAAGGCCUUGAGGUAUCCGCGCAAGGUCUUGGUUGCAUGGGUCUCUCCGCUCGCUACGGUUCUUCCGUACCGGAAAAUGACGACAUCGCUUUCCUCCACCAUGCAAUUAACUCCGGCGUUACUUUUCUUGACACCUCCGACAUGUACGGUCCUCACACAAACGAGUUGCUCAUCGGCAAGGUUCGGUUUUUGUGAUUGAUCUUGCUUUAUUUGAUCGAGCUUCAUAUCUGUAGAAGAAAAAAAAUUUGAUUCUUGAAGUUUUGAAAUGAUCUGCCAGGCUCUCAAGAACGGGAUGAGGGAGAAAGUGGAACUUGCGUCCAAAUUCGGAAUCAUUUAUACAGAGGGAAAGAUGGAGAUAAAAGGAGAUCCUGCGUAUGUUAGAGCAUCUUGUGAGGCUAGUUUAAAGCGUCUAGAUGUGGAAUGCAUUGAUCUUUAUUACCAGCAUCGGAUCGAUACUAGUGUCCCUAUCGAAAUCACUGUAAGUAUUCUUACAAUCAAAUGAAAUGGAAGUUAUAUAGUGUUAAUCUUUGCCUUGUGAUAUGUUGUGACUAUAUUUUUCCCUUGGAACACUAUCUCUCUCUGUUUCUGGUGAAGAGUUCUUUGACUUAGAUGAAUUUAGAAUCUUUCUUCAUCAAUCAAUUAUUGUUGGUUCUGAGCUUUAAUGGGUUUGCCAAUGCUUGAUGACUUUUAUAGAAAUUUGAGUUUUUUCCUCACCUUUUUGUUGAACUUUAACAGUUUCUUUUGUCUUUAAGAUGGGAGAACUCAAGAAGCUAGUUGAAGAGGGUAAAAUAAAGUACAUCGGUUUGUCUGAAGCCUCUGCCUCAACUAUCAGAAGAGCGCAUGCUGUUCACCCAAUAACUGCUGUGCAGCUAGAGUGGUCCUUGUGGACGAGAGACGUUGAAGAAGAAAUCGUCCCGACCUGCAGGUAUCAAGAUUUUAGCCUCCUUUCUUGGUGCAUUCUUCAUAAAUCAAGCAACUUCAUUGUUCACUUUUUUUCCUUUCUUCAGGGAACUUGGGAUCGGGAUUGUUGCUUACAGUCCUCUAGGAAAAGGUUUCUUUGCAUCUGGACCAAAACUUGUUGAGACGCUAGACAAAGAUGACUUCAGAAAGGCAAGUUCAAACGUUUUGUUGUAGGACUUGUUUGAUUGAUGAGCCUAGCUGAGAAUGUGACUGUAUAUUUUCUCAAUUCUGUUUCUUAUUGCAGAGACUACCAAGAUUCCAACAGGAAAACUUAGACCACAACAAGAUUCUGUACGAGAAGGUUUGUGUAAUGUCUGAGAAGAAAGGAUGCACUCCCGCACAGCUAGCACUCGCAUGGGUUCAUCACCAGGGAGAUGAUGUUUGCCCCAUCCCAGGAACCACCAGGAUCGAAAACUUUAACCAGAACAUUGGAGCUUUAUCAGUGAAACUCACUCCAGAAGAUAUGGCUGAGCUCGAGGCCAUUAGCCAACCAGAGUCUGUGAAGGGAGAAAGAUACAUGGCCAUGGUGCCCACCUUCAAGAACUCUGACACUCCACCAUUGUCUUCAUGGAAAACCGCAUAAAAUCAGACUGAGAGUUUCUCUGGUUAUGGUAGUACUUACAUGGCAUUGAUGUGGUUUAGCUUAUGUCAGCCUAAUACAAAGUAAUAAUAAUAUGUUGAAGUUGUUGUGUUGCAUCUUCGAGAGUUGCACUUUUGCAUAGGGGCUUCAACAAUCUCUCAGGGUUUAUGCCUUACAAGAUUAAAGUAAACUUUGAUUCGAGAGUUCACCAAGCUAUCUACGAGACAUCGAAAUAAUAUAUAUCUUUAUUUUUUUGCUCAACUUCAAGUCUUCAACUUAGCAUUAACCAAUAGAGUUAUACACUGGUUUAUCAACCUCAAUAGAGCUUUACACUGGUACUGAUCCGUCUUAGUCCCAGCAAUAUGAAUCUUGACUUGCUAAACCACCUGGUUUAAUUUUACCCACAAGACUUAGAUCAGGUUCAUGAAGUAUUUUGCUGCAGAUCCUCUUUUCUCCAUUCUCUCUGCUUUGAUCAUCCAUCAGCUCACUGACUUUAGUCCAUUUUUUUACUUCAUCCUGCAACCGAAUAGUAACCAUUGAAAUAUUUGAACUUUUAUCAAGACAUCAAAUUCUUUUUCAACUCUUUUGGGUUUAUAAAUUCCAUUUUUACGACAAAAAAAAAAUCCAUUUUUAGUUUCGUAAAAAAAAAGAAUCAAUGGCCAAAAUGCCAUAAUUUGGAAAAGAAAAAUCUUAGGUACCAUAACUGAGUCUGGAUGCCAUAAACUAUGUAUAUUCUCAAUUUUACCCUUAAUGAAAGAUUCUUGUGGCAUUUGUGAAAUUGUCCAAAUUUGUUAUUGUUUAAAUAAUUUUAAUUGACACUAAUAAUUAAUUUUUUAAAUUUUUGGUUUUUUUUUCUUGAGCUCAUUUUGUUUCCCGAUAGUUUGUUGUCAAUGAAUCUGAAAACCAGCUAAAUCCAUCUUUUUCGUCGAAUCCUUGUCUUCGUCUCCUUUUCCUCUUCCUCUGCAAUUAAUUUCUUGUUCUUAUCUCCUUUCUCCUCUACCAUUGUUGAAGCUUUAAAUCUGGGUGAUUUGUUCUUAUUUAGGGAUUUAGGGAUUUCACAAUUUAGGUAUUGGAUUUGUGAAAAUUAUUUGUUUCAGUAUGCAAAUUGGAUUGGUAACCAAGUUUUAUGUGAUUAUUAGGUCUUUGCAUUGGUAAUUUAUGGUCCAUAAAUUAUGGAGUUUAGUUGUUGAAUCUCUGUGAUUUUUAGGUAGAUUAGAAUUAGAACCUGAGUUCAUCACCACAUCUGCAGAAAAGAACAACUAGUACAAAUGAUACAACUAAAAGAUAAAAGACAACUGGUACAAAUGGUACAACUAAGAAAUAGAAGACAACUAGUACAAAUGGUACAACUAUGAGAUAGAUAACAACUAGUAAAAAUAUGUAUAACUAAAACAACUUGAAUAAUUGCUAAUUGAGAAUUCUUUUAUUCUAUUUUCAAGAGAUAAUGAGCAUCAACCACACAAACAUUUCAAUGGAUUUCAAGAAAUUUCAUCUAUGUUAUAUCAUUUACUAUCUCAUAUUUAGAGCAUAUAACUUAUUACAUCUAUAUUAUAUUGUUAAUCAUGUUAUGAAACAAAAGAGACAAAAUAUAUGAUUUUACAUAACUUGUAAUAUGAAAACCUCUUAACUGAAAAUUAAUAGUUGAAAAUCAAUGUAAACGCUAAAAUCUCAAAAGAACAACUAUUAAAUUUUCAGACAACUGGACAAUUAGGUACAACUAUAUACAAAAAUUGACUAUAUACAUAGGUGCACAUGUUUCUUAAUUUGACAGACAUCUGUACACUUAGGAAAGUCAAUUUAGUAUAGAGGAUUUUAUUUUUGGCUGAGAAUGCUUUCAGGAUAGAAAUUAACAAGGUACAACUGGACACUUGUACAACUAUAUGUAAUUCUUUAAUUAGAAAAUAAUAAUAAUAAAAUUAUAAGAAUCAAAAGAAAGCAUUCAGUUAAAAAUGCAAAAAGAUUAAAAACUAUAAGGAAUAAAAUUAAAAAGAUGGAUAAUAUGAAAUAAUAAUUUUUCUAAUACAUAUUAUUGGUUUGACAUCAAACACCUUUUAUGAUACAAAGAAGACUUUGAUAAUGUUAACAAUUUUAUGGUGGAAAAGAUGCAAAAUUAUGAUUUUGCAUAAAUUGUAGUAUGAAAAUGUUGUAAAUGGACUAUAGUAGUCAAAAAUCAUGUGGACAACUACAAAAUAAUAAUUUAUAUCAAGGGACAACUAGAAAAAUGCUAAAAUCGCCAAAGGACAACUAUGAAGAAUUCUGGACAAUUGGACAAUUGGGUACAACUAUGUACAAAAUUGACGACGCACGUGACACUUUGACUGCGCACAUGUCUAUUUUUGUCGGGGCUUAGCUUCGUGGAUGUGAAUAAGCAAAGGACAACUGGACAAGUAAGGACAACUAUAUGCAACUCAUUAAUUUAAAAAAAUAAUAAUAAUUAAACUAAAUUAAAUAUAUAAAGAAAGUAUAUACUUAAGAAAUACAAACAUGUCUUAAAGUAUAAGGAACAAUAUUAAUAACAUGGAUAAAAUAAAAAUUUCAUUUUCCUAAUACAUAUUAUUGAUUUCACAUCAAACAUCCCUUAUGAUACAAGGAAGACUUUCAUAAGGUUAACAAUCUUUUGAUGGAAAAGAUGCAAAUUUAUGAUUUUGCAUAAUUUGUGUCAUGAAAACCUUGUAAAUGAACUGCAAUAGUCGAAAAUCAUGUGGACAACUACAAAAUAAUAAUUUAUACUAAAGGACAACUGGAAAAAUGCUAAAAUCGCCAAAGGAAAACAAUGAAGAAUUUUGGACAACUGGACAAUUGGGUACAACUAUGUACAAAAUUGACGGCGCACGUGGUACUUUGACUGCGCACGUGUCUAUUUUUGUUGGGGCACGUGUUCUUUAGCUUAGUGGAUGUGAAUAAACAAGGGACAACUGGACAAGUAAGGACAACUUUAUGCAACUGCUAAAAAAAAUUAAUAAUUAAUUUAAUUAAACAUAUAAAGAAAAAUUUUGGACAACUGGACAAGUAUGGACAACUAUGUUCAAAAUUGACGACUUACGACGCACAUGUUAUUUUGACUGCGCACAUAUUUUUUUUGUCUCCAAAGGAUAACUAUGAAGAAUUUUGGACAACUGGACACUUAGGUACAUAGUUGUCCAAUUGUACUUAAGUGUCCAGUUGUCCAAAAUUCUUAAUAGUUGUCCUUUUGCGAUUUUAGCGUUUUUGUAGUUGUACCUUGAUACAAAUAAUUAUGUUGUAGUUGUUCAUAAGAUUUUUUUGACUAUUGUAAUGUAUUUACAACGUUUUCAUAAUACAAGUUAUGCAAAAUCAUAUUUUUUUUUCAUCAUAAAAUUGUUAACAUUAUCAAACUAUUCAAGAUAACAUCUCAAAUACAGCCAAAAAUUCAUAAUGGCUAACGCUGAUGAUGUGAUGUGAAAUCAAUUAGACCACACAUGAACCUGUUUCUUGUGUAUACGUCCUAGAAUAAAGCUUCAGCAACAGCGUUUCUUCUUUGCUUUGAGUUCUUCCCUAAACAAGUGCGACUACUCUCAUCUUCUUUUGGAGGUCCACUGUUUGGUGUUAUCUUAGCUAAGCAUUUCCCAGUCGAUAUAUUGCUGAUAUUGAUCGCUGCACCAUUCAUAAGCCAAUAAGUGAGAACUGUUGGUUUAAAGGGUAUGUAUCUCAAUGUGGAGACCUGCAUUUACAAAUCUGAAACAAACCUUUAUCAAAAACACGUAAAAUAUAAACUGAAACACUGGUUCGAAUAUGGUUUAGCGCAUUUGAAUCAUUAAAAUUCUAUUAUGGCUGCUCUGAGUUCCAUAAUCUGAACCACUAUCAGUGAAAAAUUCUAAGUGAAUGUGUUUAUUCAUGACAGACAUGUAACCUUUGCGGUAGCAGAGAAAGUUGCAUGAACUUGAAUAUGGCAUCAAGAUUAUAUCAACUUACCACCAUUAACGAUUCUGAAACAUCAGACCAAGCACAAAACAGAGGACGACCAAAUGAAGACGCUUCACUGAAGAAAGAUCUUGUCCUGAUUGUGCUGCGACCGAGAGCCCCUUGCGUCUCUUCUUCCGCAAAUUUUCCUCCCUUUUAUUCUUCCUGAUCUCAGCCAUGUUAAGUCUCUUUAUAACACUAUCUUCUGAAACUUUUCCUCCAGAAACACUAAUUGUCCUUCACAUUCACGAGUCCCAUAAACAAAAACAAAAAUCAGAAAUCCAUUUCUCAAAAAUCCUUUCAGCAAUGACUUCCAAUACUGUUUUAUACUGGGGAAAUUGUUGUUAUUUCAGGAGCCACAAAGAAGAAAUCUUACAAGGAGAUCGUGAUCGAUGGGAGGCGGAGAGAAAUCAAACUGCAACUAAUCAGAAGCCGAGACGCAACAGAUCUGGAAGAUCUGCGUUCUUGAGAACCAUUGUUUCGGAGAUGGAGGGAGCGGCGGCGAAGGAUUGAUCUCCAUAAAUCAAAGAAAGAAGAUUCAGCAAGAUUUUGGAAAAAGCUAUAAGAUCGUCGAAGAGAAGAAGAACACAUAUUUUUGUUCGUUUGAUAAUAAAAUAUUAAUAUAAUUAUUUAAUUAUUUGAGAUAAAUAAAAAUAUCAAUAGGUUAAACGGAUAUUCAUGAGUCAUUAGAUUUGAUUAGGUUUAACCCUAGUAUUACUAUAAUUAAAGAAACAAGUAAGGAAGAAGCAAGGAUUUUAUUAAUUAUUAGAUUAUGGCUUCUAAGCCUAUUUUUUCCUAAAUUAUGUAGCCUCUCGCUCUAAAAAAAAGGUGUCACCUUUCUUGUUCAUCAUCGCCACUCACCAAUCGAACUGCAACAAACCACUUCCACUCAUCCAUGGCGGACUGUGGAGUGAGGAGGAUGAAACUGGGAAGCCAAGGCUUUGAAGUAUCGGCGCAGGGUCUUGGUUGCAUGAGCCUCUCCGCCUUCUUCAGUGUUCCGGAGCCGAAAACUGAUCCCAUCGUUCUUCUCCACCACGCAAUCGAAUCCGGCGUCACUUUCCUUGAUACCUCCGACAGCUACGGUCCUGAGACCAACGAGUUGCCUCUCAGCAAGGUUCGGUUUUUGAAAUUCCCGAUCAUGUUUUGUUAGAUCAUGUUUUGUUUGAUUGUUCGACAGAUUUUCCCAGAUUUUUGACUUGGGCAACAAAGAUGAAAUAACCACUUUAUAGCUGGGGAUUUCUGAUUUCCCUCCUCGAUUCUUUGAUCAUUGUAUCUGUAGAAAGGAUUCCAUUGUUGCAAAUUUUGAAUUUUAUCAGGCCCUGAAGAACGGGAUGAGGGAGAAAGUGGAGCUUGCGACCAAAUUCGGAAUCAUUUAUGGUGCAGAAGGAAAGAGAGAGAUCAAGGGAGAUCCUGCGUAUGUUAGAGCUGCUUGUGAGGCUAGUUUAAAGCGUCUAGAUGUUGCCUGUAUUGAUCUCUAUUAUCAGCAUCGUAUAGAUACUCGUGUUCCUAUCGAAAUCACUGUAAAGACCUUCUUUCCCAAUGCUACUUCAUGCGAUGGUUUUUCAGUUUUUCUAAAUGAAAACGGAAGUUAUAGUUCAGUGAGCAUCACUUCUUUGGCUUGGGAUAUGUUGGAACCAAUAUUGUCAAAGAAAAUAGAUUUGGGGACAAAUGUUUUUCUGCUUGUGUCUCUCUUUCUGAUAUUGUGAAUUACUAUAGAGUGAAAGGGAAAUAGAUUGGUUUCCUUGACCAUUUGUUAGUUGGGAGCCUUUUGGCUAUGGGAGAGUUGGGAGAUCUCUGCAAUAAUCUCCAAUAUAGUUAGGGUUCUUGAUUGUAAUCUUGAUUGAUAAGAAGACGGUUUUGGUAAUUGAGUUUUAACAUAUUGCUAGCUUAUUCGUUAAGAACUAAUAUCUGGUGAAAUGAUCUUUGACUGAGAGAAAUUUACGGCCUUCUCAUCUUUCCUCAUCUAUCAUUUAGGGUUGCUUCUGAGCUCAAAUAAUUUGUUUGUGACAUUCCUGACCUUUAGAAAGCAUUUUGAUGAACUUAACAAUUUCAUUUUUUUCUGUUAUUCCAAGAUGGGAGAGCUGAAGAAGCUGGUUGAAGAAAGAAAAAUAAAGUACAUCGGUUUAUCUGAAGCCUCUGCCUCAACUAUCAGAAGAGCCCAUGCGGUUCACCCAGUAACUGCUGUGCAGCUAGAGUGGUCCUUGUGGACGAGAGACGUGGAAGAAGAAAUCAUCCCGACCUGCAGGUAUCCAGAUCUCAUCCUCUUUUCUUGGUGCACUAUCCAUCAAAUGUAACGUCUCCUCUUUCUUUCUUUGAGAAUAAAACUUAGAAGUUGAAGGCAAAUGCUGAUUUCUCUACUGGUUUAUUUACUGUCUUGAAGUUUGUUCAUAGAGAAUAUCCAACAGAGUUCAACACUCUUUCUCUUUAAGAAUCAAAUCAUGUAAUGUCUUCUCUUUCCUUUUUCAGGGAACUUGGGAUUGGGAUUGUUGCCUAUAGUCCUCUAGGAAGAGGUUUCUUCGCAUCUGGACCCAAGCUUCUUGAAAAUCUAGACAAUAAUGACUACAGAAAGGCUAGUACAUAUGCUUUGUAAGCCUUGUUUGAUUGAUGAACCUUAGAUAUACUUUAGGUAAUUAAUCAAUCAACCAACUGUCAUUUGCUCUUCUGUUUCUUAGUGCAGACUUUACCAAGAUUCCAACAGGAAAACUUAGUCCACAACAAGAUUCUUUACGAGAAGGUUUGUGCGAUGUUGGAGAAGAAAGGAUGCACUCCUGCACAACUAUCCCUCACAUGGGUUCACCACCAGGGAGAUGAUGUUUGCCCCAUCCCUGGAACCACCAAGAUCGAAAACCUCAAUCAGAACAUUGGAGCUUAAUCAGUGAAACUCACUCCAGAAGAGAUGGCUGAGCUCGACGUCAUUGGCCAAUCAGAGUCUGUGAGAGGAGAAAGAUGCAUGGCCAAUGUGCCCACCUUCAGGAACUCUGACACUCCACCGUUGUCUUCCUGGAAAGCCGCUUAAAACCAGUUGAGAGUUUUACUUACAUGGCAAUGAAGUGGUGUAGCUUAUAUGUCCGCCAGCCCAAUACGAGGUAAUAAUAUGUUGAGGUUGUUUGUUUUGCAUCUUCGAGAGUUAGACCAAUGCUAUGCUAUGCAUAAGGGGCUUCAAUAAUCUCACAGGGUCUAUAUGCAUUCAAGUAUAAAUUAUGCAUAUGAUUCAAGUGUUCACUAAGUUUUAGCAGACUUUAUAAAACUUUGAAAUGUCUGAAUUUUAUGAUGAUCAAGCUUUCUUAAGAUCAAGUUAUUCACAAUGUUCUUUCUCCAAAAAAAAAAAAAAAAAGAGGUUAUUUACAAUGUUAUAUACUAGUACACCCGUGUAUAUCAUUUUAAUUCAAAGAUUUUUUGUUUUGGAAGCAUAUUAAUUCAAAGAUGUUUCUAUUUUUUUGUGUAAAGUAAAAUACCUUAAUAAGUUUAGUAAAAUACCUUGAUAAGUUUAGUAAAAGUAGUAAAAAUAUCCAGAACUAAAUUCAAGAACUCUAAAAGAGAAAGAUUGACAAAUUAAAUUGGUUUUUUUUUUUUUUUUUUUUUGCAUUUUCGUUUGAUGUUGAUGUUGUACGGCUCUAUUUUUCUUUCCCUUAUCAUUUACCUUCACACUCCUCUCCACUCAAUUCAAAACUCUACAAGAGUCACACAGAGAGAGAGAAACAGAGAAAGAAAGAGGUGUGAGCUAAAUCAAUGGCGGACUCUUGCGGAUUGAAGAGGAUGAAGCUGGGAAGCCAAGGCCUUGAAGUAUCGGCGCAAGGUCUUGGUUGCAUGAGCCUCUCCGCCUUCUACGGUGUUCCGAAGCCGGAAACUGAAGCCAUCGCUCUUCUCCACCACGCCAUUGACUCCGGCAUUACUUUCCUUGACACCUCCGACAUGUACGGCCCUCACACAAACGAGUUGCUCGUCGGAAAGGUUCGGUUUGAUCUUGUUUUAUCUGAGUUUCAUAUUUGUAGAAGAAAAGAUUUGAUUCUUGAAGUUUUGAAAUGAUCUGGCAGGCUCUCAAGAACGGGAUGAGGGAGAAAGUGGAACUUGCGUCCAAAUUCGGAAUCAUUUAUACAGACGUGAAGUUGGAGAUAAAAGGAGAUCCUGCGUAUGUGAGAGCAUCUUGUGAAGCUAGUUUAAAGCGUCUAGAUGUGGAAUGCAUUGAUCUUUAUUACCAGCAUCGGAUUGAUACUUGUGUCCCUAUCGAAAUCACUGUAAGCAUUCGGACUAUCAAAUGACAUUGAUGUUAUAUAGUGUUCAUUUUUGCCUUGGGCUAUGUUGGGACUAUAUGUUUUUACCCUUGGAACACUCUUUUCUGGUGUAGUGUUCUUUGACUUAGUGAGUUUGAGUCUUUCUUCAUCAAUCAAUUAUUGUUGGUUCUGAGCUCUAAUUAGUUUUCCAACACUUGAUGACUCUUUCCUCACCUUUUUGCUGAACUUUAACAUUUUGUCUUUAAGAUGGGAGAACUCAAGAAGCUAGUUGAAGAGGGUAAAAUAAAGUACAUUGGUUUGUCUGAAGCCUCUGCUUCAACUAUCAGAAGAGCGCAUGCUGUUCACCCAAUAACUGCUGUGCAGCUAGAGUGGUCCUUGUGGGCGAGAGACGUGGAAGACGAUAUCGUCCCGACCUGCAGGUAUCUAGAUUUCAUCCUUUCUUUCUUUGUUGCAAUAUUUCAUCAAUCAUGUUCACUUUUUCCUUUCUUCAGGGAACUUGGGAUCGGGAUUGUUGCCUACAGUCCUCUAGGAAAAGGUUUCUUCGCAUCUGGACCCAAGCUUGUUGAGAAUCUUAACAAUAAUGACUUCAGAAAGGCAAGAACAAACGUUUUGUUGUAGGACUUGUUUGAUUGAUGAGCCUUGUAAGUAACCUGAGAAUGUGACUGUGUAUUUGCUCAAUUCUGUCUUGUAUUGCAGAGACUACCAAGGUUCCAACAAGAAAACUUAGACCACAACAAGAUUCUUUACGAGAAGGUUUGUGCAAUGUCUGAGAAGAAAGGAUGCACUCCCGCACAGCUAGCACUCGCAUGGGUUCACCACCAGGGAGAUGAUGUUUGCCCCAUCCCAGGAACCACCAGGAUCGAAAACUUUA